GGAUGCGAUCAUACCAGCACUAAAGCACCGGAUCCCAUCAGAACUCUGAAGUUAAGCAUGCUUGGGCGAGAGUAGUACUAGGAUGGGUGACCUCCUGGGAAGUCCUCGUGUUGCAUUCC
This 119-nucleotide ribosomal RNA is filed under the name Triticum aestivum (bread wheat). RNAcentral also lists the same sequence under 1 other name. Lineage: Eukaryota; Viridiplantae; Streptophyta; Magnoliopsida; Poales; Poaceae. The record is from RNAcentral.